RNAcentral lists this ribosomal RNA (572 nucleotides) under uncultured bacterium. Its description in RNAcentral is "bacterial SSU rRNA". It matches the Rfam family "Bacterial small subunit ribosomal RNA", at positions 336 to 918 of the family's 1533-position model. The record is from RNAcentral.
UUCCUACGGGAGGCAGCAGUGGGGAAUAUUGCACAAUGGGCGCAAGCCUGAUGCAGCAACGCCGCGUGAGGGACGACGGCCUUCGGGUUGUAAACCUCUUUUAGCAGGGAAGAAGCGAAAGUGACGGUACCUGCAGAAAAAGCACCGGCUAACUACGUGCCAGCAGCCGCGGUAAUACGUAGGGUGCAAGCGUUAUCCGGAAUUAUUGGGCGUAAAGAGCUCGUAGGCGGUUUGUCGCGUCUGCUGUGAAAACUGGGGGCUCAACCCCCAGCCUGCAGUGGGUACGGGCAGACUAGAGUGCGGUAGGGGAGAUUGGAAUUCCUGGUGUAGCGGUGGAAUGCGCAGAUAUCAGGAGGAACACCGAUGGCGAAGGCAGAUCUCUGGGCCGUAACUGACGCUGAGGAGCGAAAGGGUGGGGAGCAAACAGGCUUAGAUACCCUGGUAGUCCACCCCGUAAACGUUGGGAACUAGUUGUGGGGUCCAUUCCACGGAUUCCGUGACGCAGCUAACGCAUUAAGUUCCCCGCCUGGGGAGUACGGCCGCAAGGCUAAAACUCAAAGGAAUUGACGGAA